GUGGGGAAUAUUGGGCAAUGGGCGCAAGCCUGACCCAGCAACGCCGCGUGAAGGAAGAAGGCCCUCGGGUUGUAAACUUCUUUUAUUCGGGACGAAGAAGUGACGGUACCGAAUGAAUAAGCCACGGCUAACUACGUGCCAGCAGCCGCGGUAAUACGUAGGUGGCAAGCGUUAUCCGGAUUUACUGGGUGUAAAGGGCGUGUAGGCGGGACUGCAAGUCAGAUGUGAAAACCAUGGGCUCAACCCAUGGCCUGCAUUUGAAACUGUAGUUCUUGAGUGAUGGAGAGGCAGGCGGAAUUCCGUGUGUAGCGGUGAAAUGCGUAGAUAUACGGAGGAACACCAGUGGCGAAGGCGGCCUGCUGGACAUUAACUGACGCUGAGGCGCGAAAGCGUGGGGAGCAAACAGG
RNAcentral lists this ribosomal RNA (407 nucleotides) under uncultured bacterium. Its description in RNAcentral is "bacterial SSU rRNA". It matches the Rfam family "Bacterial small subunit ribosomal RNA", at positions 354 to 776 of the family's 1533-position model. The record is from RNAcentral.